This 381-nucleotide ribosomal RNA is filed under the name Rhaebo guttatus (smooth-sided toad). RNAcentral describes it as "partial 12S ribosomal RNA". Lineage: Eukaryota; Metazoa; Chordata; Amphibia; Anura; Bufonidae. The record is from RNAcentral.
GAAGUCAAUUAUUACUUAACAUACACAUGCAAGUAUCCGCCCCCCUGUGAGAACGCCCUUUAACCCCUUAUAGGGACAAGGAGCCGGUAUCAGGCACAACAAUCUGCCCAAAACACCUAGCAAUGCCACACCCACAAGGGUAUACAGCAGUGAUUAACAUUGAGCAUUAGCGUAAGCUUGACUCAGUUAAAGUAAAAUAGAGCCGGCUAAUCUGGUGCCAGCCGCCGCGGUCACACCACGUGGCUCAAAUUGACCACUAACGGCGUAAAGCGUGAUUAAAGCCCUCCCCCGUCAUUAGAGUUAAACUAAAAUUAAGCUGUGACACGCCUAUUAAUUAAGAAACCCAAACACGAAAGUUACUCUAACCUAACCAACUUGAAU